CUAACACAUGCAAGUCGAGCGGAAACGAGUUAACUGACCCUUCGGGUGACGUUAACGGCGUCGAGCGGCGGACGGGUGAGUAAUGCCUGGGAAAUUGCCCUGAUGUGGGGGAUAACCAUUGGAAACGAUGGCUAAUACCGCAUAAUGCCUUCGGGCCAAAGAGGGGGACCUUCGGGCCUCUCGCGUCAGGAUAUGCCCAGGUGGGAUUAGCUAGUUGGUAAGGUAAUGGCUUACCAAGGCGACGAUCCCUAGCUGGUCUGAGAGGAUGAUCAGCCACACUGGAACUGAGACACGGUCCAGACUCCUACGGGAGGCAGCAGUGGGGAAUAUUGCACAAUGGGCGCAAGCCUGAUGCAGCCAUGCCGCGUGUGUGAAGAAGGCCUUCGGGUUGUAAAGCACUUUCAGUCGUGAGGAAGGUAGUGUAGUUAAUAGCUGCAUUGCUUGACGUUAGCGACAGAAGAAGCACCGGCUAACUCCGUGCCAGCAGCCGCGGUAAUACGGAGGGUGCGAGCGUUAAUCGGAAUUACUGGGCGUAAAGCGCAUGCAGGUGGUUCGUUAAGUCAGAUGUGAAAGCCCGGGGCUCAACCUCGGAACUGCAUUUGAAACUGGCGGACUAGAGUACUGUAGAGGGGGGUAGAAUUUCAGGUGUAGCGGUGAAAUGCGUAGAGAUCUGAAGGAAUACCGGUGGCGAAGGCGGCCCCCUGGACAGAUACUGACACUCAAAUGCGAAAGCCUGGGGAGCAAACAGGA
Molecule: ribosomal RNA, 750 nt
Filed under: Vibrio sp. UOH-01
Lineage: Bacteria; Pseudomonadati; Pseudomonadota; Gammaproteobacteria; Vibrionales; Vibrionaceae
Description: bacterial SSU rRNA
Rfam family: Bacterial small subunit ribosomal RNA
Source: RNAcentral